UAGGCGUAAAUGAUGCGAGUUAAGUGUGGGGGCAUCUACGAGAUGGCCCUGUGCUGUAGGGUAGCCGUUAAACUCGCUGCCUGGGGAGUACGGUCGCAAGGCUGAAACUUAAAGGAAUUGGCGGGGGAGCACCACAACGGGUGGAGCUUGCGGUUUAAUUGGAUUCAACGCCGGAAAUCUUACCGGGACCGACAGCAACAUGAAGGCCAGGCUGAAGACUUUGCCGGAUUAGCUGAGAGGAGGUGCAUGGCGUAG
RNAcentral lists this ribosomal RNA (255 nucleotides) under uncultured archaeon. Its description in RNAcentral is "partial 16S ribosomal RNA". It matches the Rfam family "Archaeal small subunit ribosomal RNA", at positions 748 to 1002 of the family's 1478-position model. The record is from RNAcentral.